UUUUUUUUAUCUAGUUUAAAAAAAAUACUAAAUUUGUCAAGUUAUUGAUGCUAAAAGGCGAUUAACAAAUAGCUUAUAUUAAGCAUAGCA
Molecule: transfer RNA, 90 nt
Filed under: Radix auricularia
Lineage: Eukaryota; Metazoa; Mollusca; Gastropoda; Lymnaeidae
Description: tRNA-Asp
Source: RNAcentral